Rhinopithecus roxellana (golden snub-nosed monkey) is the source of this 2847-nucleotide RNA transcript. It is a transcript of the gene named malate dehydrogenase 1B, with no coding region annotated. NCBI's taxonomy places the organism in Eukaryota, Metazoa, Chordata, Mammalia, Primates, Cercopithecidae. The transcript is spliced from 13 exons. The record is from RefSeq and is a predicted model, not a curated record.
AUGACUAGGGGGAUCGGGGAUACCACAGAGCUUAUAAGGGCGAUGUUUGAUGGUGUAUCGCAACGUAACCCAUUCAAGUCCUAACUUUAUAAACACCUAACGUCUGCUGGGCUCCAGACUUCGUAGUGCGCCUGCGCCGUGCCCUUGGCUGCGUGGUUGCCAGGAAACCGCGAAGCCGCGGUCCCUGCCUCUGAGUCUCUCUCGACCAUGGCCAAAUUCGUCAUUGCGGGUAGAGCAGAUUGUCCAUAUUAUGCUAAAACAGAACUUCUGGCAGACUAUUUACAAAAGAAUCUUCCUGAUUUUCGCAUACAUAAAAUCACACAACGUCCUGAGGUUUGGGAGGAUUGGCUAAAAGAUGUGUGUGAAAAGAAUGAGUGGAGUCACAAGAAUUCCCCUAUCAUAUGGAGAGAGCUGUUGGAUCGUGGAGGAAAGGGUUUGCUUUUGGGAGGAUAUAAUGAGUUCCUGGAGCAUGCCCAGCUUUACUAUGAUGUCACCUCUAGCAUGACGACUGAGUUGAUGAUGGUAAUUGCUCAAGAGAACCUGGGGGCACAUAUAGAAAAAGAGCAGGAGGAAGAAGCCCUGAAAACUUGCAUCAACCCCUUGCAGGUCUGGAUCACCAGUGCCUCUGCUCCUGCCUGCUACAACCUAAUUCCCAUAUUGACGAGUGGCGAAGUGUUUGGGAUGCAUACAGAAAUUAGCAUAACUCUAUUUGACAACAAGCAGGCAGAAGAAUAUCUCAAAAGCCUUGUGGUGGAGACCCAGGACCUGGCGUCACCCGUCCUGCGCAGUGUCUCCAUCUGCACAAAGGUGGAGGAGGCCUUCUGCCAGGCCCACGUCAUUGUGGUGCUGGACGAAAGCACCGACAAGGAGGUGUUCACCCUGGAGGACUGCCUCCGGAGCAGGGUGCCUCUGUGCAGACUCUACGGGUACCUGAUAGAGAAAAAUGCUCAUGAAUCCGUCAGAGUCAUCGUGGGAGGGAAAACCUUUGUGAACCUGAAGACAGUUUUACUCAUGAGAUAUGCCCCACGCGUCGCACACAACAUUAUUGCCGUGGCACUGGGGGUGGAAGGUGAAGCGAAAGCCAUACUGGCCAGAAAGCUGAAGACAGCUCCUUCAUACAUUAAAGAUGUGAUCAUUUGGGGUAAUAUCAGUGGAAAUAAUUACGUUGAUCUGAGAAAAACAAGGGUGUACAGAUAUGAGAGUGCCAUUUGGGGACCUCUUCAUUAUUCACGCCCUCUUUUAAACUUGAUCUUUGACAGUGAGUGGGUAAAAAGAGAAUUUGUAGCAACUCUUAAAAACUUGACCGCCACAGGAAGACAAUGUGGAGGCAUUUUGGCUGCACACAGUAUAGCCACUACGUUGAAAUACUGGUAUCAUGGCUCACCGCCUGGGGAGAUUGUAUCUUUAGGAAUAUUGAGUGAAGGCCAGUUUGGUAUUCCUAAAGGGAUCGUCUUUUCUAUGCCUGUGAAAUUUGAGAAUGGAACUUGGAUGGUUCUUACAGAUCUCAAAGAUAUUGAAAUAAGUGAACAAAUAAUGACCAGAAUGACAAGUGAUCUAAUUCAGGAGAAACUUGUUGCACUUGGAGACAAGAUACAUUUUCAGCCAUACCAAUCAGGACUACCAUAACAAAUGACCACAAAUUGGAUGGCUUAAAAACAACAGAAAUUUACUUGUUCACAGCUCAGGAGACUAGAAGACCUGAUGUGAGACACACCCAGGAUCAAUACUUUGCAUCCUUCAAUCCAAUCAAGUUGGCACUCAGUAUUAACCAUCACAAUUAGAAAAGGAUAAGUAUUAUUUCAUGUAAUUUUGUUUCAUUAAUAUGUACACAAAUGUGCACACUGAACUAUAAUGUAAAAUAUGCCUUUUAUUGUGGGUCAUAGUCACUGAAGUUUGAAAAACAUUGACUUAGAACAUCUCAUGACCUAGUCAGGUUGUUGGUUAUAUUCUAAAUCCAGCAUGUUUAAUUUAAUUUUGAUUUCAGAACAUAAAGAUCUGGUCCCUGAUGAAGAAAAAAAUCUAGUUAUGUCAGACGCAGCAGAUUUUCUAAAUCGGAUUCCUCAAACUACCUUUGAAAAGCCACAGAGUCUUGAGUUCCUAAAUGGCUUUGAAGGCAAAACUGUGGAAUCCUAACAGAUCAAAUUGGAUGAAAUACAUAAUUACUUGGUAGCAUAAUAAAUAUAGAAAGAAUUUACAUAAAUGUCUACAUUGAAGGAAGAAUAAUUUGAAAGAUUUAUGUCAGUCUUAGAUAAUACCAUGGAAGGCAAUUAAAUCACUGUGACAACAUAAAGGUCAGAGUUCAGUUAUUUUGCGUUACUUGUAUCCACUUAUGUUUGUUUAACAAUAAUUGCAUUUUCUCAGAAAUAUUUUGGUGUCAAAUGCUAUCUUUUAUACUACAUUAAAAUAGAGUUGUCAGUUAUUGCAUCUGCCCAUACAUCUUCUGAGAGAACCUGCUUCCUUCCACCAGUCAUACCUAAGACCUGCACCUCAGUGACCAUGUUUGCUCAAAUGUCCUCACCACCUUGGUCUCAGCUAAUUCAGCCAAACAGAUGUACCUCACUCAAGGAUAACCAAUCAUAUUUUCUCUCUCUCUCAAAAAAAAAUUGAACUGAGACCAAUGAGUAAGUUGAUGACUGGGUCAGGUUAAUGGUAGUGAACUAUGUGCCUGUGAGCUCUUCAGAGCUAGUUGGGUUCACCACCUUCAUAAGACCUGCCUUUGUACCAUUUUUCCUUGGAUAUGCUUUAAGUGUCUGUACAAUAAAUCACAUUUUUUUAAAGCUUAGGUUGAAUAGGUUUCUGCUCCUUCACAACAGAUAUGGCCUGAAUAAAAUGAAUUUUGAAAGAAAA